GAAAUCUGUGUGAUCUAUUAAUUUUUUUCUUUACAUAUACAAAUGCAUAUGAUAGGUAGCAAGAAUAAUGAUGAUAUAUAAAAUCGUUUGGACAUUUUUGUUAAGUAAAUAAUAUAUAGAUAAGGGAUCUCUAUGUAAUUAGUUUAGAAUACAGUAGCCCUACUUGUAUACUUGUAUAAAUACCUUUCUUACGGUUAAUAAAAGUAUUGAAGCCUCCAACUCUAUAUGGUAUCAGAGCCAAGAAUCUGACCUAAUCUUUUCUUCAAAAAUCUUUCUUCUUUUUCACGGUUUCUCAUCAUGUCCUCGAGCUCCAAUGAAACCGUCUUGCUCACCGGCACCCACGGUAUCACCCACCUUACAAGUCCUCUUCACACCC
This 376-nucleotide long non-coding RNA is filed under the name Brassica napus (rape). Its description in RNAcentral is "long non-coding RNA (BNAP_LNC007692)". The record is from RNAcentral. Lineage: Eukaryota; Viridiplantae; Streptophyta; Magnoliopsida; Brassicales; Brassicaceae.